RNAcentral lists this ribosomal RNA (484 nucleotides) under uncultured bacterium. RNAcentral describes it as "bacterial SSU rRNA". It matches the Rfam family "Bacterial small subunit ribosomal RNA", at positions 28 to 513 of the family's 1533-position model. The record is from RNAcentral.
GAUGAACGCUAGCGGCAGGCUUAACACAUGCAAGUCGAGGGGUAGGUUACUUCGGUAAUUGAGACCGGCGCACGGGUGCGUAACGCGUAUACAAUCUACCUUUUACAGAGGGAUAGCCCAGAGAAAUUUGGAUUAAUACCUCAUAGUAUUUUUGAAUCGCAUGAUUUGAUUAUUAAAGUUCCAACGGUAAAAGAUGAGUAUGCGUCCCAUUAGCUAGAUGGUAAGGUAACGGCUUACCAUGGCUACGAUGGGUAGGGGUCCUGAGAGGGAGAUCCCCCCACACUGGUACUGAGACACGGACCAGACUCCUACGGGAGGCAGCAGUGAGGAAUAUUGGACAAUGGGCGCAAGCCUGAUCCAGCCAUGCCGCGUGCAGGAAGAAGGUCCUAUGGAUUGUAAACUGCUUUUUANACAAGAAGAAACACUCCCNGUGAGGGAACUUGACGGUACUGUAUGAAUAAGGACCGNUAACUCCGUGCCAGCA